Dermacentor albipictus is the source of this 4972-nucleotide non-coding RNA. The record is from RefSeq and is a predicted model, not a curated record. NCBI's taxonomy places the organism in Eukaryota, Metazoa, Arthropoda, Arachnida, Ixodida, Ixodidae.
GAAGUGCUGUGCCACACGUGUCAAACAUGAUUCGUUCUUUUUAUGUUACGUCAUAGGCAAGCAGCCUAUAUAUCUAGAUCGCUGUCGCUGAAAUAAAACAGUGCGGUACGUGCUCUUGGAUCGUCUCCGUCACUCUGCCACCCGCUAUAACAGUGGCGACGAGGGUGACCACCCCGCGGAGCCCCCGCCACGAACAGCGGCAUCUCGGUAGCGCUGGAAGUCCUGCUGGGUACUGAAAGUAAUCGAGUCUUCGGAGCAUCGGCGGUCAUGGCCCUGGCUACGAACCUCGGUACCCCAAGUUUCGACGAAAAUCAAGAUAAGUGGGAUAUUUACUUGACUCGACUGGAGGCAUUUUUUGAAGCAAAUGAUAUUAAGACAGAUGAUAAGAAAAGAGCGCUCUUGGUUUCGACGCUAUCAACGAAGACGGUAGGCGCUCUUGCUGGACAGUGCGCACCCCAGAAAGUAAACGCCCUGAGUUACAAGGACGCACUUACCAUCCUAAAUAACCACUCUGCGCCGAAGACUAAUGAGGUUGCCGCAAGUUACAAGUUCUUUACAAGGGAUCAGGCUGCAAGCGAAUCUGUCCGGGACUAUGUUGUUGAGCUACGCAAGCUUGCGGAUAGUUGUCACUUCGGCACCAGUUUGGAUCGUAUGUUACGGGACCGCAUUGUGUGUGGCAUCCGAAAUCGGGCGGUGCAGCAGACGCUGCUUGAAAAAACUGAGCUCACACUUGCCCAAGCUGAAACGAUUGCCAUAGCGGCAGAGACAGCCGCACUGGAAGUAAGCGCCAUGACUAGACUUGAUAAUGAGGCAGCGGUGUGCACUGUAGCGAGUAAAUCGCGCCGAUAUCAGACCUUCACCAAAGAUAAGCAAAGCCAUACUGAGUGCGCACGCUGCGGAAACUACGCUCACGAAGCAAGCGACUGUCCGCACAAAAAGGAGCAGUGUUUUCGCUGUCGGAAGACUGGUCAUUUCGCAAGAAAAUGCCGCUCCCAGUCGGAGCUCCGGGCUGGUCGUAGGCGCGAUGGCGUCGCUAACGCAGUCCAUUAUGAGAGCGCUGUAUCCAAAACGGAGGAAGGCGAUAUUUCAUCAGUCUUCACAUUGCAGGAACCACGGGAAAAGAAAUCUUUGCUCCAGGCGUUCCGCAGAGUUAUCCGCUGGGGUGGCGUGCCCUUGAACAUGAUUAUUGACACGGGAUCGCCGUUUUCUAUCAUUCCGCAGGAGGUGUAUCUAAAGCACCAUCUGAGUUGGCCACGCUUAUCGAAAUGCAAACACACGCUCAACUGUUACUUGGGCAAGCUACCCAUUGUCGGUGAACUGCACCUUGAAGCCAAUUUUGCAGGGAAGACUGUACCUGCCACACUGAUAGUUACAGGCUGCUCGGUCCUAGCCUUUGCGGAAGGGACUUAAUCCAAGCGUUCUCGCUUUUGCCGUCGGGGUUUCUCGCUGCGGUUCAACCGACGUCAGCAGAUCCCGACAGCCUCAGGACCGAGUUUCCUGCCCUUUUUGAGCCAGGACUUGGAAACAUUCAGGGGCCACCUGUGAAAUUCCACAUUCGAGAAGGCGCCCAACCGAAGUUCCACAAGGCGCGGUCAAUUCCUUAUGCUCUUCGUGAAAAAGUGGAAACUGAGCUGGACCGUUUAGUACAGCAAGGCAUACUAUCGCCCAUAGCACAUUCUGAGUGGGCAGCGCCAAUCGUACCAGUACUGAAGAAAGACGGUUCCCUUCGCAUCUGCGGCGAUUUCAAAACCACAAUCAAUGCUGCGUGCAUAACUGAGCAGUACCCUUUACCAAACAUUGAAGACAUUUUCGCGUCGCUACGUGGGGGAUCAUUUUUCACCACACUGGACCUUAAGGAUGCAUAUAACCAACUCCCAUUGGAUGAGGAGGCGAGGAAGUUGGCCGUGAUAAACACUCACAAGGGGUUGUUUUGCUAUAACCGUCUUCCGUUUGGAGUUGCCUCGGCUCCCGCGAUUUUCCAGCGGCGCAUGGAAACGGUCCUGGCCGGUCUUCCAGCCGUGCAGGUGUAUUUGGACGAUGUAUUGAUAGCGGAACGUCAAGACGAUAAUGGCUCAGUGCUUCGGGACGUUUUGCGCAGGCUUCAAGAAAAUGGUAUCAAGCUUAAGGCCGAAAAAUGCCAUUUUCGCAAAGACUCAAUCGUCUACCUGGGCCAUCGCAUUGACAAAGACGGCUUGCAUCCGCUUGAAAAGAACCUAGCAGCAAUACGCGACUCGCCACGGCCUACGAAUGUGAGCGAACUGCGUUCUUUCUUGGGUCUGUUGACUUAUUAUCACCGGUUCUUGCCACACAUGUCAACGAUGCUGGCACCGUUGUAUCUCUUGCUUGAAAAAGAGCAUAAAUGGCACUGGGGAACGGCGCAGGAAAAUUCAUAUCUCAAGGCUAAACAAACACUUCUGAGUUCGCCUGUUCUGACGUAUUUCGAUCCCAACCAACCAGUGCGUUUGGAAUGCGAUGCGUCACCUUCGGGUUUAGGUGCCGUAAUUUCGCACCGAAUUGGACAAUUGGAUAAGCCCAUUGCUUUCCGUUCACGCACGUUAACAUACCCCGAAAAGAAUUAUUCUCAGCUCGAGAAGGAAGCGCUCGCACUGGUGUUCGGAGUAACAAAGUUUCGAGACUACCUGCUGGACCGCGAGUUUGUAUUGGUCACGGACCACCAACCACUGGUGGGACUUCUACGAGAAGAUCGACCUGUGCCCCCAAUGGCGUCGGCACGUAUUCAGAGAUGGGCUCUGUUUCUAAGCCAAUAUAGCUACCGCAUAGAGUACAAGGCCGGCAAGGAAAACGCCAACGCGGACGCACUCAGCCGCUUGCCCGUGCCGAUAACAGACGUUUGUCGAUCGGGAACCUUACCAGAAUACGUAUUGUCUACAGAGACCCUUGACAGCUUACAGCUUACAAAUUAUUCCUCGAAAUUUCACGGCAAUUCUGGGAAGACAAAUGUUCCUUCCAAAGCAAAUACCAUGGCAGAACGACAAACUAUAACCUCAGAAAAACUCUGAUAGGAAAACCACGUUGCAGAACGAAAUACGGAGAUCAAAAACUAGCAGUUCAACUACCUAACCUCCUAAACGACUAUUCCUUGGUAUUGGACCUGCUAAAUUCUGGAAUUUCAAAGCAAAGCUUUAAGAAAACGGUAAAAGAAUUGUUACUAUCCGAAGACUAAUAGAAAUGUUGAACUACAGGUAUAGAAAAUUUUGUUCAUGUUUCUUGUUGUUGUUUUUAGAAAACUGUGUAAACUUUAACCUUUCAGCUACAGGUAUGGAAAAUUUCGUACAUACAUUUUUUUUCCUGUCAUUGUUGUGCUUCAAUUGAUUAGAAAACUGUAUAAACUUUAACCUUUUUUUUUUCUCUUUCUUCUUACGCGAAUUGUGUACUCAAGUGUUGAAAAUGUGCACUACUUUAAUUUCAUGUGUGAUCUCCUGAAAGCCUGCCACUGCCAUGUUGCUGCCAAUGUACGGGUGGCACGGCCUAGUCAGGCAAAUGUAUUGCCUUUAGCCGUGUCCCCUAAGACAAUCUGUUCAUUGUCUUAAAUAAAUCAAUAAAGAAAGAAAGAAAGAAAGAAAGCUCGUUCGUGUCAGCGGAUGCCAUACGGGCGCUGACGAACGGAGAUGCAAACCUUAGCGUUGUGCAGCACUUUGUACUGAAUGGAUGGCCUAAACGCUUGUCACCUUGUCACAAUCACCUUCAACCUUAUUUUUGCAGAAGACUGGAGCUGUCAAGCGUAGAAGGCCUGCUCUACUGGGGUCAUCGCAUCGUCGUACCCCGCAAAGCGCGAGCCUCCAUGCUCGCUGAGCUACAUCGGUCACACCAGGGUGCAUCUGCGAUAAAGACUGGCUCGGACGCUGUUCUGGUGGCCGGGGUUGGAUGGUUCCUAUCUGUUGGCCAGAAACCGGAACCAAAUGGUCAAGGCUUCACAUUGAUUACGCCGGACCGAUAGAGGGACGCAUGCUGUUGAUAGUCGUCGACUCGCAUACUAAAUGGAUUGAGGCACUUCCCGUCAAGUCGGCGACCACAGAAGUCACAAUUGCGCGUCUUCGGGAACUGUUUGCGCGUUUUGGCUUGCCGCAAACAGUUGUAUCAGAUAAAGGACCUCAGUUUGCAAGCCAGCAGUUUUCCCAGUUCAUGACGGUCAACAACAUAACUCAUCUACGUAGUGCGCCGUACCACCCACAAUCUAAUGGUCUCGCAGAGCGUGCGGUCCGCACAAUAAAGGAUGGCUUUCUUAAGCACUCGAUGGUGAACGAUCUCGAAACAAAACUAGCGCGAGUGCUCCUAGGCUAUCGACGUACCCCGCUACCGUGCGGCAAGUCUCCUUCAGAGAUGCUGCUGAACUACCAAAUUCGUUCGCGCUUGGAUACUUGCAUCCCUUCUCUACCUCAAAGUUACUCGCAGCCUCCCAGAUUCCAGUCCGGCGACCAGGUGUGGGUGCGCAACUUUGGCCAAGGGGAGCGUUGGCGUCCAGGCAUCGUCAAGAGCAUAGAAGGUUCACGCCUUGUAAUGGUCGACACUCCAGAUGGCCUAGCCCGACGUCACUUCGACCAAAUUUUCCGUCGCGUGCCUGUGCCACACGUGACCCCAAAAGCGGAGGCGUCCGACUCGCUUCAACCCAGCCCGGACAACAAGCAUCGGCCCACGUCAACGCCAGAAGCCCGGUGCAGCCUGGCCACUCCAGAAGCAAGUGGCACUACGCCUGUUCCUUCGACAACACCUCCAACGUCCGUCCCAGCCGAACAGGCUCUCUCUCCCCCAAGUCCGCCGGUCUUACGGAGGUCUACCCGACAACGAAGACCCGUGCAAAGACUGCAGUUUUAAAGAAAGGGAGAAGUGAUAUGAAGUGCUGUGCCACACGUGUCAAACAUGAUUCGUUCUUUUUAUGUUACGUCAUAGGCAAGCAGCCUAUAUAUCUAGAUCGCUGUCGCUGAAAUAAAACAGUGCGGUACGUGCUCUUGGA